RNAcentral lists this ribosomal RNA (482 nucleotides) under uncultured bacterium. RNAcentral's name for it is "partial 16S ribosomal RNA". It matches the Rfam family "Bacterial small subunit ribosomal RNA", at positions 30 to 507 of the family's 1533-position model. The record is from RNAcentral.
AUUGAACGCUGGCGGCAUGCCUUACACAUGCAAGUCGAACGGUAACAGGUCUUCGUAUGCUGGCGAGUGGCGGACGGGUGAGUAAUACAUCGUAACGUGCCCAGACGUGGGGGAUAACGAGGCGAAAGCUUUGCUAAUACCGCAUACGAUUUAUGGAUGAAAGCAGUGGACGGCAAGGCCUUGCUCGUUUGGAGGGGCCGAUGGCAGAUUAGGUAGUUGGUGGGAUAAAAGCUUACCAAGCCGACGAUCUGUAGCUGGUCUGAGAGGAUGACCAGCCACACUGGGAGUGAGACACGGCCCAGACUCCUACGGGAGGCAGCAGUGGGGAAUUUUGGAGCAUGGGCGAAAGCCUGAUCCAGCAAUGCCGCGUGCCGGAUGAAGGACUUCGGGUUGUAAAAUGCUUUUGUACGGAAUGAAAAGGCUCUGGCUAAUACAUGAGGAACAUGACGGUACCGUAAGAAUAAGCACCGGCUAACUACGUG